This is a long non-coding RNA of Octopus sinensis (East Asian common octopus), 1305 nucleotides long. RefSeq lists it as uncharacterized. The transcript has 2 exons. Lineage: Eukaryota; Metazoa; Mollusca; Cephalopoda; Octopoda; Octopodidae. The record is from RefSeq and is a predicted model, not a curated record.
ACCAGCAUCCAAACCUGAAUAUUAAACUUACAGGAUACACCGGUCCACAGAGAAUUUCAAUCCCAGAGCCUAAGUCUGUGAGGGACCUGGGUAUUGACGGCUGGUACAGUAGUAAUUCCUGGAGCUUUCUUCAAGGUUGUCAAGCAACUUGUGCUUUUUUUUUGGUUUUCACAUUUUUGAAAAUUUUAUAAAGUUCUCUCAGUCAAAAUAAAUGGCCUUCUACUGCACUCGUCUUAUGAACUGGCUGGUAUUUUCUAAGAUAGCACUGCCAGGUGUGCGUAUAUCCUUCAGCGAAAUGUCUAGUGUAAUCUUGUUCAUCUUCCUAAAAGCACUGAUUUCCCAGUAUGGGAGGUUUUGUUUAGACAGGAGACUUUAAAAUGUCAUGUCCAAACCUUAUUUUGGGUAUAUCCCUAGCAGUGUGCUCUGAAAGCAUGGUCACCACUUACGGUUGCCAGGUGUCCACUAAGGUACUGCAUUUUAGUUUGCGGAUCUAAUUAAGGAAUUCCUUGGUGCACGUUUAGUAUAUUUUAAAUAACUGAUAGUGAAGACAGAGUGUAGUAAGCACAUGUAGCAAUGUUGUGAAUUUAAACUUAUAGAUCAAUUCAAAUAUAUUUGGGACAGAUUUAACCUGUAAAAAAAAAAAAAAAAAAAAAAACCUAUUUUCACUGGUUUAGGCAAAAGGUGUCAAAAACACCAAAUCAUUUCAGAGCAAACUGUUGACCGACGAAUUCCAUUUCAAGCUUCUGCAUACCAAGAAAACAACUCUCUUGAAUUCACAACACUGUUUUAAGUUCAUUCUGAGUAUAAGAAUAAGAACCCAGUACUACAACAUUCUGCCAAACAACCUCAAGAGAUUUGCCAGAUUUACAAAUGGCAGACUUUAAAACAAAGUCUGUAUAAAUUUUUAUGAGAUACCAGUUGAAUCCAGAAACAGCACAGAAAAGAAACUCAAACACUCUGAAAGAAUGGUGCUCAAGCAUGGCCUUAGCCUCCGAAUAAGGCCAGUAAAAGAGUCUGGCAGCAUUGCUUGUAGGUCCACGUAUAGAUUUUGGUGAUUUUUCUUUCAAGAAGUUAUGACUCAUUUCAGGUUGAAGAGAAGCUGUACCAAUUCUGUAAUGGAGCCUAGUAAUGAGUGCAUUUUUCGUGCUGUUGAAUAAUGUUGGCCCCUAUUCAUUGGUGGAUGGAUUUUUGAGGUGUGGAAUGAGUGGUUUGAUGUGGGGCGUGUAAGGUUAGGAUACAAUCAGGGUUUGUAUCCAGCAAACAUCUUGUACCAAAGUGGAGAUUUGUAUGUAAAUUCUGACUGUU